GAUGAACGCUAGCUACAGGCUUAACACAUGCAAGUCGUGGGGCAGCAUGGGGGUUGCUUGCAAUCCCCGAUGGCGACCGGCGCACGGGUGAGUAACGCGUAUCCAACCUGCCCUUCACCACGGGAUAACCCGGCGAAAGUCGGACUAAUACCGUAUGUUGUCCAUUGACGGCAUCCGAUUUGGACGAAAGGUUUGGCGGUGAAGGAUGGGGAUGCGUCCGAUUAGCUGGACGGCGGGGUGACGGCCCACCGUGGCGACGAUCGGUAGGGGUUCUGAGAGGAAGGUCCCCCACACUGGAACUGAGACACGGUCCAGACUCCUACGGGAGGCAGCAGUGAGGAAUAUUGGUCAAUGGGCGUAAGCCUGAACCAGCCAAGUAGCGUGCAGGAUGACGGCCCUAUGGGUUGUAAACUGCUUUUAUGCGGGGAUAAAGUGGCCCACGUGUGGGUUUUUGCAGGUACCGCAUGAAUAAGGACCGGCUAAUUCCGUG
Molecule: ribosomal RNA, 490 nt
Filed under: uncultured bacterium
Lineage: Bacteria
Description: partial 16S ribosomal RNA
Rfam family: Bacterial small subunit ribosomal RNA
Source: RNAcentral